CGAUUGCUGCGGAAUGCGUCAGGGUAACAUAUCCUGGGGCCAUACACAUCUUUAGGGAGCUGUCCCUGUCAGACUCUUGGGUCUGGUAUUACGGUGCCCACCUGCAACUGCAGGCCACAGAGAUCUUUACACCCAACGGUUUUGUGGGGUCGC
RNAcentral lists this non-coding RNA (153 nucleotides) under Rhodospirillales bacterium. RNAcentral describes it as "6S RNA". It matches the Rfam family "6S / SsrS RNA". From Rfam's summary of the family: E. coli 6S RNA was the first non coding RNA to be sequenced, but its function was unknown until recently. It consists of 184 nucleotides that fold into an extended hairpin structure with a large single-stranded internal bulge. The record is from RNAcentral. Lineage: Bacteria; Pseudomonadati; Pseudomonadota; Alphaproteobacteria; Rhodospirillales.